Long non-coding RNA from Thalassophryne amazonica, 178 nucleotides. RefSeq lists it as uncharacterized. The transcript has 3 exons. NCBI's taxonomy places the organism in Eukaryota, Metazoa, Chordata, Actinopteri, Batrachoidiformes, Batrachoididae. The record is from RefSeq and is a predicted model, not a curated record.
GCACUGCGCUGCGGGCAGCCCUGUUCUUAAUCAGAAUGUAGACAGCGUGACUGUCAGUACGCAAGCAACAUGCCGAAGCGCAAGUGUAUGUUUACCGACGAUUUACAAAAGAGUUUCCCCGCUUUCAGACCGGGUCGAGACAAAUGGGAAGCCUUGUGCACAGAAAAGCCACCCAUGA